RNAcentral lists this long non-coding RNA (1009 nucleotides) under Oryzias sinensis (Chinese medaka). RNAcentral describes it as "lncRNA (ENSOSIG00000006278.1)". Lineage: Eukaryota; Metazoa; Chordata; Actinopteri; Beloniformes; Adrianichthyidae. The record is from RNAcentral.
CUGCAAUAGUUAAUGGUUUAAUGUGAUAAUGUGUUAUAAUGAUAAUCAAUGAUUAUUACUUUAUGGGUACCGUUACUGUUUACUGAAAUCAUGAAUGAAUGUUUUCUGAAGAUAAUCAAUCAUUACUAGGCACUGGAUUAUGUAACUUGAAAAGAAUCUAUCAGAUCAGAACCGGAUUGCAAACACUAUGUAAAACUGUGCAAUGAAUUUAUUAAGUAGGGGUGGGAUUAUAUAAACUCACCUCUUCCCACUCCUGUUCAAGCAAUAAAUCAAGCUCAGCAUGUCUUUAGUUAAUGAUCUCUAUAUUUAAUCUAGCAUAUGUCAUAUAAGUGUCUUUUUUUCUGUUUCUUUUAUCUAUGCAUUUCAUCCCUUCUCUAAUGCGUUUGAUAAAUCUGUGUACAUUCUUGAUUGCUUUGACAAUGCUUGAAAUCGAUCAAUCUAUUAAUCAAUCAAGAGAUCCAACAAGACAAGCAGGAUUAGCGAACCUGACAAUCUGGGUAAUGAACAGAUGAAAGUUACAGAACACCCCAUUUACAGACAGCAAACGUAUACGUAAGUGUGUGUGUGUUUCAGGGGGGGGUUUGGCUGACAGCACUGCCACAACAUUCAUAACAGCCUGGGAAAAUGUAAUGAGAUGGAGCACCGUGAAGACUGGAGACAUGGAGGACCUUAGAAUGACAGAGCAGGCAGAACAUGUCCCCAGAAUCCUCCUCCUAUCCUGUCUGUCUAGUCUUUUCCUCCUCCAGCUUCUUCUCGUUUUCUCCUCUCACCUUCUGUCUGUGCUGCAUCCUAGGACAUCUCUAAAUGGAAACUUGACCCCCCCUCACUGUGGGGGUCUUAUCUGACUAAUUUCCUUAAGUCAGGGGGGUCUACAAGGGUCCUCAUACAGCUCCUGGCAUUAGCAGCAGCAGCCCUUCAAGCCCAGCCUGAUCUAUGACACAGGAUAAAAUACUCAAAUGUAUCGCUUGUUCUCUCACUUUUCUUUCUGUGCGUCUUGUCAGAUUUUUUC